Molecule: ribosomal RNA, 999 nt
Filed under: Salipaludibacillus sp.
Lineage: Bacteria; Bacillati; Bacillota; Bacilli; Caryophanales; Bacillaceae
Description: bacterial SSU rRNA
Rfam family: Bacterial small subunit ribosomal RNA
Source: RNAcentral
GCAAGUCGAGCGCAGGAAGCCGGCAGAUCCCUUCGGGGUGACGCCGGUGGAAUGAGCGGCGGACGGGUGAGUAACACGUGGGCAACCUGCCUUGCAGACUGGGAUAACUCCGGGAAACCGGGGCUAAUACCGGAUGAUCAUUUGGAUCGCAUGAUCCGAAUGUAAAAGUGGGGAUUUAUCCUCACACUGCAAGAUGGGCCCGCGGCGCAUUAGCUAGUUGGUAAGGUAAUGGCUUACCAAGGCGACGAUGCGUAGCCGACCUGAGAGGGUGAUCGGCCACACUGGAACUGAGACACGGUCCAGACUCCUACGGGAGGCAGCAGUAGGGAAUCAUCCGCAAUGGGCGAAAGCCUGACGGUGCAACGCCGCGUGAACGAUGAAGGUUUUCGGAUCGUAAAGUUCUGUUAUGAGGGAAGAACACGUGCCGUUCGAAUAGGGCGGCACCUUGACGGUACCUCACGAGAAAGCCCCGGCUAACUACGUGCCAGCAGCCGCGGUAAUACGUAGGGGGCAAGCGUUGUCCGGAAUUAUUGGGCGUAAAGCGCGCGCAGGCGGUCUCUUAAGUCUGAUGUGAAAGCCCACGGCUCAACCGUGGAGGGUCAUUGGAAACUGGGGGACUUGAGUGUAGGAGAGGAAAGUGGAAUUCCACGUGUAGCGGUGAAAUGCGUAGAUAUGUGGAGGAACACCAGUGGCGAAGGCGACUUUCUGGCCUACAACUGACGCUGAGGCGCGAAAGCGUGGGGAGCAAACAGGAUUAGAUACCCUGGUAGUCCACGCCGUAAACGAUGAGUGCUAGGUGUUAGGGGUUUCGAUACCCUUAGUGCCGAAGUUAACACAUUAAGCACUCCGCCUGGGGAGUACGGCCGCAAGGCUGAAACUCAAAGGAAUUGACGGGGGCCCGCACAAGCAGUGGAGCAUGUGGUUUAAUUCGAAGCAACGCGAAGAACCUUACCAGGUCUUGACAUCCUCUGACACCUCUGGAGACAGAGCGUUCCCCUU